AGUUUGAUCCUGGCUCAGAACGAACGUUGGCGGCGUGGAUUAGGCAUGCAAGUCGAACGCGAACCGGUAGCAAUAUCGGGGAGAGUGGCGAAAGGGGCAGUAAUGCGUGGGUAACCUACCCCGGGGUCGGGUAUAGCCGUUCUAACGGACGGGUAAUCCCCGGCGCUGUGACGAGGCGGCAUCGCCUUGGCACGGAAGAAUUUCGCCUCGGGAGGGGCUCACGUCGUAUUAGCUAGUUGGUGGGGUAAUGGCCCACCAAGGCGUAGAUGCGUAGCGGGUGUGAGAGCACGACCCGCGCCACUGGCACUGAGACACUGGCCAGACACCUACGGGUGGCUGCAGUCGAGGAUCUUCGGCAAUGUGCGCAAGCAUGACCGAGCGACGCCGCGUGUGCGACGAAGGCCUUCGGGUUGUAAAGCACUGUCGAGGGGGAGAAAAGCCCGCAAGGGUCUGAUCUAUCCCUGGAGGAAGCACGGGCUAAGUUCGUGCCAGCAGCCGCGGUAAGACGAACCGUGCAAACGUUGUUCGGAAUCACUGGGCUUAAAGGGCGCGUAGGCGGACAUUCAAGUCGGUGGUGAAAUCCCCCAGCUCAACUGGGGAACUGCCUUCGAUACUGGGUGUCUCGAGUGAGGUAGGGGCAUGCGGAACUGAUGGUGGAGCGGUGAAAUGUGUUGAUAUCAUCAGGAACUCCGGUGGCGAAAGCGGCGUGCCGGACCUCAACUGACGCUGAGGCGCGAAAGCCAGGGGAGCAAACGGGAUUAGAUACCCCGGUAGUCCUGGCCCUAAACGAUGAGAACUAGGUAGUGGACUUGACAUGGGUUCACUGCCGGAGCAAAAGUGCUAAGUUCUCCGCCUGGGGAGUAUGGUCGCAAGGCUGAAACUCAAAUGAAUU
RNAcentral lists this ribosomal RNA (892 nucleotides) under uncultured bacterium. RNAcentral describes it as "bacterial SSU rRNA". It matches the Rfam family "Bacterial small subunit ribosomal RNA", at positions 10 to 911 of the family's 1533-position model. The record is from RNAcentral.